Molecule: long non-coding RNA, 551 nt
Filed under: Homo sapiens (human)
Lineage: Eukaryota; Metazoa; Chordata; Mammalia; Primates; Hominidae
Description: HSALNT0327069
Source: RNAcentral
CUUGAAUCACAAUGGGGCAGCUUGGGCUGCCCAGGCCCGGCGAGGCCGGGCUUUCUCCUAGACACUGAAGUCUGUUCUCCGACCCAAGGGACACAAGAAAAGUUGAGCUGGAGUAAAGUGGCAUGAUCUCGGCUCACUGCAGCCUCCGCCCCCGCCAGGUUCAAGUGAUUCUCCUGCCUCAGCCUCCCGAGUAGCUGGGAUUACAGGCGCAGGCCACCAUGCCCAGUUUGGGGUUUUCAGGGCUGUGGUUGUGAAGAAGAUCAAGACCCAUGAUGGGAAGCUGGUAUCCAAGUCCUCUGACGUCCUGCUCAAGUGAACAGCCACAGCAGCCCCUCCCAGCCUAUCCUUCCUGCAGCUGCCCCAGAGCCCAUGAGAAAAGCCACUGCGCAGGGGAGCACAGGGAACAGGAGACCCACCUGAGGCUCAGCCCUAUCCCUAAGCCCACAUAGGGGAGUUUACUCUCUGGGGCACCCCCCUUGCCCAUGCCUCCAGCAACAAAACAAUUCAAUUGCUUUUUUUUUUUUUUUUUUUUGUCCAAAAUAAAACCUCUG